AACUCGUACCCCUAAAAAAACUCGUCUCAGCCCUUUUCCAAAUUGUUCCCCAAAUCAAACCCUAGCCAAAUCGAACAUCACCACGAUCUCCCCCCCGCCGCCGCCAACCACCCACCGGAGCGUUGGCUUCAUCCCCACCACCGUCGCACCCUAGCACCCUCCUCAGCCGCCGUAUAGCAACCUCCUUAUCCGCCGGCGAGCAACCUUUGUCGCUUCCUCCUCGACCUCCGCCGCACCGAGCGCCGACUUCCUUCCCCGGCCGACCAACGUCGCCGCUCCCAAACACCCUCCGCCGCACCCGAAGCGCUGCCUCCCGGUGCUUUCUCUCCAGGUAGCACCGCGGCCUAGCACCCCGGCCAUCGUCGACUUGCUCACUUCGUCAAGCAGCGCCGCCUCCUGCAGGAGCUCCCCCGGCCAGCAGCACCUCCUCCUCCACGAGCCUCCUCUACGAACCAGUCCUGCACCAAAUUGGUUCGUUCAUGCUUGAAGUGAAUACAUGAGGAGCUGAUGUUUUCUUGUAUCUCUUUGGAGUCUAUCUGUACCUUUACUUGUUGGAGUCUUGGGGAGCACUCAGUGGUGUGGUUUAUCUUUUCCUUAUGGGUCUGCAACAACUGGUGUUCCUAGAUUUUUAUUUCUUAAAUUAAUAAAAAAGCAGCGCUGGAUUCAGCCAGUUCCAUGAUUUUUUUUGUACUUUCAUCUGUUCUAAUUUUCUCCAGUAGUUAGGUCUAUGUCAAAAUGUGUCAUUUUAGCUUGGAUGAUAGAAUAUAUAACGUGCAAAAUUAUAGUCACGCCGUUCUACCUUUCUCCUGUAGUUUAGUUACUUUUUUUGGAAUCUACAGGUGCAAUAAUUUUGCUCUACAAUAAGACUGUCGUUUUCUUGCUGAUAAUUAGAACAUUUUGGAUGCUCGUUGUUUAUUUUUUGCAUCCAGGUUUGGUAGUAGUGUUGGUGUGUGUGGCGUAGUUUCUGAUGUUUUGAGGGUACCCCUAAAGGGGGACUAACCUGAGACAUGUGGUUGUGUUCUAUUAGUUUUCAGUAAUGGAAAUUGGGAGCUAUCCUCCUAAGUAGAAAAAUUGGAAAAAAAUGGGUCAUGAGUCUAGCUGAGUACCAUGCUCUUUUGUUCUAUAUGUAAUCCUUACAAAAAGUUCUCUAAUUUUCACUUGGUGCUUUCACUAAAGUAAACUUUUUGGAUUGUUUGUUCUGUGAGCAGCGUGCAUCUUCUUUUUUACUCUCCACCAAGAAGUGUCAACUACGCCAUACAAGCAUGUGCGAUGAAUAUAUUUCACUUCAAUUAUCGCAUGGCCUUACAAGCCACAUAAGCUUAUGUUCUUAUGAUUAUAUAUUUACCAAUUACUAUUAUGGUUGAUUUCUUAUAAGUGUUUGCUUCUAUGUAUGAAGCUUCGAGUGAAUCCUAAGUUCAUCGUAGAACCAGCAACGUGAGUACACGACAGCAAGCAAAACUGAGGAGGAAUCACGGUACUAAUUUGUGACCAGAUUGGUAAAAGAGGUAUUUUGCAGAAUUCUUUUAUAUCCUACAUGUCUCUUUUCUCUCUAUAUAAAGUAGCAUUAUUUGAAAAUAUCCUUGUAUUUCCUCUCAGAAGCUCACACCUGAAUAUCAUUAUAUAUGCUUGUGAAAAGGUUCUGUAUGUUCUUUUAGUUUCCAUACUAGUGUUAGUCAAUGCUGGAAUGAAGUUUGAGUUUUCUUUGAUGUACUACUUGCCUUUGUGUGCUUAUACAAAAAGAUAAGAUCCUAUGAUACCUAUGAUGUAAACAUGUUGUCCCUAUUUUGUCUUAUGUACAGACACAGUUCGAUGAUUCUUCACUUUCAGGAAAGUAAACUUAAUAUCGGUGGUAAUCACACCAUGCCAUGUGGGUUUAAUUAUCUUUCCAAACCUGAAACUGUUGUCAUGCUUUCCAGGAAGGGCAACUAGAUGUGCUUAAUUCGUGUGCCCAGACUUGAAACUAUUUUCAUUUGUUUGUUCCUUAUUAAAUCGAAUAGUAGGUGUUUUUCUUAUAAUAAAUAGGGGUGGUGAACUCUGUACAUUCUUUGAGUAUCGUAAUAAAUGUAAUGGAGAUUAUGUUUUCUAAUGUGUGUACUUGUCAUUUGGUCA
Molecule: long non-coding RNA, 2109 nt
Organism: Triticum urartu
Lineage: Eukaryota; Viridiplantae; Streptophyta; Magnoliopsida; Poales; Poaceae
Source: RefSeq, a predicted model, not a curated record